GACGAACGCUGGCGGCGUGCCUAAUACAUGCAAGUUGAGCGAUGAAGAUUGGUGCUUGCACCAAUUUGAAGAGCAGCGAACGGGUGAGUAACGCGUGGGGAAUCUGCCUUUGAGCUGGUGACAACAUUUGGAAACGAAUGCUAAUACCGCAUAACAACUUUAAACAUAAGUUUUAAGUUUGAAAGAUGCAAUUGCAUCACUCAAAGAUGAUCCCGCGUUGUAUUAGCUAGUUGGUGAGGUAAAGGCACACCAAGGCGAUGAUACAUAGACGACCUGAAAGGGGUAUCGGCCACAUAGGGACGGAAAAACGGCCCAAACUCCUACAGGAAGCAGCAGUAGGGAAUCAUCGGGAAUGGAGAAAAGUGUGACCAGGCAACGCCGCGUGAGUGAAGAAGGUAAUCGGAUCGUGAAAAUCGGUUGAAAGAGAAGAACCAUAGGGAGAGGGGAAAGCACAUCAAGUGGCGGAAAAUUCCCAGAAAGGCGCGGAGAACUAAGAG
Molecule: ribosomal RNA, 497 nt
Filed under: uncultured bacterium
Lineage: Bacteria
Description: partial 16S ribosomal RNA
Rfam family: Bacterial small subunit ribosomal RNA
Source: RNAcentral